This 442-nucleotide ribosomal RNA is filed under the name uncultured bacterium. RNAcentral's name for it is "bacterial SSU rRNA". It matches the Rfam family "Bacterial small subunit ribosomal RNA", at positions 338 to 795 of the family's 1533-position model. The record is from RNAcentral.
CCUANGGGAGGCAGCAGUGGGGAAUAUUGCGCAAUGGGGGAAACCCUGACGCAGCAACGCCGCGUGAAGGAUGAAGGUUUUCGGAUUGUAAACUUCUUUGAUGAGGGACGAAUAAAUGACGGUACCUCAAAAACAAGCCACGGCUAACUACGUGCCAGCAGCCGCGGUAAUACGUAGGUGGCGAGCGUUGUCCGGAAUUACUGGGUGUAAAGGGCGUGUAGGCGGGGAUAUAAGUCAGAUGUGAAAUACCGUAGCUUAACUACGGGGCUGCAUCUGAAACUAUGUUUCUUGAGUGUCGGAGAGGAAAGUGGAAUUCCCAGUGUAGCGGUGAAAUGCGUAGAUAUUGGGAGGAACACCAGUGGCGAAGGCGACUUUCUGGACGAUAACUGACGCUGAGGCGCGAAAGCGUGGGGAGCAAACAGGAUUAGAUACCCUANUANUC